RNAcentral lists this unclassified non-coding RNA (300 nucleotides) under Glomus sp. RNAcentral's name for it is "partial contains 5.8S ribosomal RNA and internal transcribed spacer 2". The stretch from base 1 to 65 matches the Rfam family "5.8S ribosomal RNA", at positions 84 to 154 of the family's 154-position model. Lineage: Eukaryota; Fungi; Glomeromycota; Glomeromycetes; Glomerales; Glomeraceae. The record is from RNAcentral.
GUGAAUCAUCGAAUCUUUGAACGCAAAUCGCACUCUCUUCGGAGAGUAUGCCUGUUUGAGGGUCAGCCUAAAAAAAAUCGACGUAGUCGCUGUUUCGCGGUGACAUUCGUCGGAAAUUGGUUUAUCUUCAACCUUUGGGUUUGUUAAUCGGCUUAAACUUUUCUUUACGAUUCCACGAACGUUUCUAAUAUUUUUCUUCUUACACUCGUUUAUGGUCUCGUUCUUUUUUAUACGUGCCCGUUGCAUCGGAUCGUGUCCAUAAAUAUUUCGUUAUUUGACCUCAUAUCGGUAAGAACUCCC